AUACGGAGGAUCCGAGCGUUAUCCGGAUUUAUUGGGUUUAAAGGGAGCGUAGGUGGACAGUUAAGUCAGUUGUGAAAGUUUGCGGCUCAACCCCAUUCUGCCGUUGAUACUGGGUGGCUUGAUUGCGGUCGAGGUUGGCGGAAUUCGUUGUGUAGCGGUGAAAUGCAUAGAUAUGACGAAGAACACCGAUUGCGUAGGCAGCUGACCAGAUCGCAAAUGACGCUCAUGCACGAAAGUGCGGGGAUCGAACAGGAUUAGAUACCCUGGUAGUCCGCACAGUAAACGAUGAAUACUUGUUUUCGGCGAUAUAAUGUCGGAGGCAAAGCGAAAGCGAUAAGUAUUCCACCUGGGGAGUACGCCGGCAACGGUGAAACUCAAAUGAAUUGACGGGG
RNAcentral lists this ribosomal RNA (392 nucleotides) under uncultured bacterium. Its description in RNAcentral is "partial 16S ribosomal RNA". It matches the Rfam family "Bacterial small subunit ribosomal RNA", at positions 523 to 918 of the family's 1533-position model. The record is from RNAcentral.